This 336-nucleotide RNase P RNA is filed under the name Patescibacteria group bacterium. Its description in RNAcentral is "RNase P RNA component class A". It matches the Rfam family "Bacterial RNase P class A". Rfam says of the family: Ribonuclease P (RNase P) is a ubiquitous endoribonuclease, found in archaea, bacteria and eukarya as well as chloroplasts and mitochondria. Its best characterised activity is the generation of mature 5'-ends of tRNAs by cleaving the 5'-leader elements of precursor-tRNAs. The record is from RNAcentral.
UAGCUGCACUAGACAACCGCUCCGAUUUAAUAUCGGAGAGGAAAGUCCGAACACCGCCCCGUGGAACCUUUGGUGAAGCGGGUGAGCAAAGUAACGGGUAACGCCCGCCGGGUAACACCCAGAGGUGCGAACAGAGACGCGUUUGCCGGAAACGGCGAACGGAUCCUUCGGGAUCAGCUUUUGCAGAAAUGCAAAAGGUGCAACGGCCAAAUCCUUAUUUCGGUGCAAGGUCGUGUCCCGAUCAAAAUCGGGAAGAACCGCUUGACCCCGAGCGCAAGCGAGGGGCUAGACAUAUGGUUGUCAAAUACAGAAUUCGGCUUAUUGUGCGGCGACAUG